Long non-coding RNA from Sapajus apella (tufted capuchin), 1456 nucleotides. RefSeq lists it as uncharacterized. The transcript has 5 exons. The record is from RefSeq and is a predicted model, not a curated record. Lineage: Eukaryota; Metazoa; Chordata; Mammalia; Primates; Cebidae.
UCCGUGUUUUAUAGAGGAGGUACUUACUUCUGAAGCUAAGUACCCUGUCCAAGCUAACAUAGCUAAUAAGUAGCAGAUCCAGUAACCUAGGCAGUAUGGCUCCUCUGUUUCCUUCACCAUGUACCUUUGGGCAGUACAGAAAUAGAAACGAUCACUCUGAUAGCAAAUACAGUGUUUAGUUUUCCUUUCAGCUUAUUGUUUUGUGCCUCCCUCUAUAAGGUUACACUGGGAAGAAAAUAAGUAAAUGAACUGAGUGUCCAUUUAUCCACAUCUAACAUUAAUUGUUACAUGCCCUGAAAACAUAGGAUAAAGACUUAUUUCAGAAAACAAUAUGUACGUAAGUGGCCACUAGAGAUAGUUUUCUAUAUUGUUAGUAUUCAUUCCUGGGACAUGUAUUUAGAGACUUCUGUGCUCCGGGCCUGGCAAAACAAAAAUGAAUAAAACGCGACACUUAUUUUCAAGAAUCUCAUGGCUCCUUCUUCUGUGAUAGUCUUUUAAGUCCUGUGCUAUUUACGAGAGGCGGUUCUUUCCUUCAGAAACUUACAGUGUCCCUUCUGUAUUAGGAUCUUAGUGCAACAUUGCUCUGCAAACUUGGACCAGGGCGGAGCGAGGUAGUGGAGGAGCUGUACCAGCAUCUACAGCAAAAGGAAAGGAUGCUGCAGGACCUUCUGAGUGAUCGAAACAAACAAGUGGUGGAACAUGAAGGAGAUUCAAGGCCUGCUUCAGUCUAUGAACUCCAGGGAGCAGGAAAGCCAAGUUGCUGCAGAGAAGAUGGUGCAAGCCUCAAUGGAAAGAAAUGCAGAAUUACAGACCCUGCGCCAAUAUUUGGAAGGGAGAGACUUCAUGAUGUCCCAAGCACCCAUCUCUAACCAACGAGCUGAAGUUACCUCCAUUGCCCUCCCCCUUGGAGAACAGACUGAUCAAGUAAGAACUAUAGACUUAGAUAAUUCAUGCAGAAUGGGUUUCCUUUUUACAUUUGAGGUGUAAGUUUGAUAAUUUUAAUAUGAAAUUGUGAGAAUAUUCUCAGUGCUGUCAUUGUGAUCAUAGUUCCUGCAUCUUCCUAACUCCCCCAGUUUUUUAGGGCUCAGUGCAGAUACCUUCCAUAGAUGAUGGUACUUCAUUGACUGCCAAAGAGGAUGCCAGCAUACCCAGAUCCACAUUAGGAGACUUGAACACAGUGGCAGGGCUGGAAAAGAACUGAGUAAUGCCAAAGAGGAGCUUGAACGCAUGGCUAAAAAAGAAAGAGAAAGUCAGGACCUGCAAAUACAACUGGUUAUCCUGAAGACAUACCAGCUGUGGAACGCCUGACCCAGGAAGUAUUACUUCUUUGGGAAAAAGUUGCUUCAGUAGAAUCCCAGGAUCAAGAAAUUUCAGGAAACCAAAGACAACAGUUGCUGCUGAUGCUAGAAGGACUAGCAGAUGAACAGAGUUGGCUCAGUGAGGACUUACAGCAGAG